RNAcentral lists this ribosomal RNA (253 nucleotides) under uncultured bacterium. RNAcentral's name for it is "partial 16S ribosomal RNA". It matches the Rfam family "Bacterial small subunit ribosomal RNA", at positions 524 to 776 of the family's 1533-position model. The record is from RNAcentral.
UACAUAGGGUGCAAGCGUUGUCCGGAAUUAUUGGGCGUAAAGAGCUCGUAGGCGGUUUGUCGCGUCGAAUGUGAAAACCCGGGGCUCAACUCCGGGCCUGCAUUCGAUACGGGCAGACUAGAGUUCGGUAGGGGAGACUGGAAUUCCUGGUGUAGCGGUGAAAUGCGCAGAUAUCAGGAGGAACACCGGUGGCGAAGGCGGGUCUCUGGGCCGAUACUGACGCUGAGGAGCGAAAGCGUGGGGAGCGAACAGG